RNAcentral lists this unclassified non-coding RNA (253 nucleotides) under uncultured Alphaproteobacteria bacterium. RNAcentral describes it as "contains 16S-23S intergenic spacer region". It matches the Rfam family "Bacterial small subunit ribosomal RNA", at positions 524 to 776 of the family's 1533-position model. The record is from RNAcentral. Lineage: Bacteria; Pseudomonadati; Pseudomonadota; Alphaproteobacteria.
UACGGAGGGGGCGAGCGUUGUUCGGAAUUACUGGGCGUAAAGGGCGCGUAGGCGGUCCGGUCAGUUGGAGGUGAAAGCCCUGGGCUCAACCUAGGAGGUGCCUUCAAUACGGCCGGACUUGAGAACGGGAGAGGAUGACGGAAUUCCCAGUGUAGAGGUGAAAUUCGUAGAUAUUGGGAAGAACACCAGUGGCGAAGGCGGUCAUCUGGCCCGUUUCUGACGCUGAGGUACGAAAGCGUGGGGAGCGAACAGG